RNAcentral lists this ribosomal RNA (256 nucleotides) under uncultured bacterium. RNAcentral's name for it is "partial 16S ribosomal RNA". It matches the Rfam family "Bacterial small subunit ribosomal RNA", at positions 524 to 776 of the family's 1533-position model. The record is from RNAcentral.
UACGGGGGGAGCAAGCGUUGUUCGGAUUUACUGGGCGUAAAGGGCGCGUAGGCGGCCACCGCAAGUCAGUUGUGAAAUCUCUGGGCUUAACCCAGAAAGGUCAACUGAUACUGCGGGGCUAGAGUGCAGAAGGGGCAACUGGAAUUCUCGGUGUAGCGGUGAAAUGCGUAGAUAUCGAGAGGAACACCUGCGGCGAAAGGCGGGUUGCUGGGCUGACACGUGACGCUGAAGCGCGAAAGCUAGGGGAGCGAACGGG